Molecule: long non-coding RNA, 33089 nt
Filed under: Cucumis sativus (cucumber)
Lineage: Eukaryota; Viridiplantae; Streptophyta; Magnoliopsida; Cucurbitales; Cucurbitaceae
Description: long non-coding RNA (CSAT_LNC002931)
Source: RNAcentral
AUUAUACCUAAUCUUCACUACGUACUGUCAUUAAAUAAUUAAACCCAAAAGAAAAAUGUAAAUGAGUAGAUACUGUUUGUUUUGUUAAGAAAUUGGGUAUUCGUAUAUAAUUGAAUUUAAUUGGCCACCAUGGCUGGUUUUGGUGUGGGUGAAGGCAGAGCCUCGUAAACAGGAACACCCAUAUUUUGAGGUGACAACAACUGAGCAUUUUCCGCCAUGGAAAUGGUUUUGAUUAAGUUCAACAAGAUUCUCGCCAACUCUUCUCCAUCGCUCCAUUCGUGAAUCUCUGCCUUAAUCACAAGUGGGUUUUGGCUAAUCAAGUCCCACAGUGGAAAAUUCUUCCUCGGCAUCAGAAAAUCCCCUUCUCCAAGCUUCAAACUAGGGCAGUAAUCGCCACUUCCAUCUCCUAAAUAGAUGAACUUCUUCUUCUUUCCUUCCGACAUUAAUGACGCUUGAAUCCUCUCCAUAACGAGGCCCUGAUUUUGUGAAAUGAAUAUCUCUCAGCAUACAAGAAACUGAUCAACAUAUAUGUACACUGCUGCAAAUACAGAGAUAUACAGUACCUUGCACAUGUUCGGAGGGCAAAGAUUGCAUCCGUGAGAGGAUUUUUGGAAAUCGUGGAUAGGAAAAAUCCUCAGCCUUCCUUCUUCAUCGACGUAACCUGGAUUCGUGUUGAUUUCGGAGAAGCAUUCUCUUAUUCCGAGAUGAUCUAAAAUCGUCUCGAUGAAAAACAUAUUGGCAUCACUCACAAUCCUCAAAUCACAUCUAGAAAACACAAAGUCUGAUCAGCCGCUGUAAAUCAAAACGAGAGAUAAGAAACAUAAAUACAUUCUACGAUCGCUUACCCUAGGGCGUGAGCGGCUCUAAUGGCAGGAACGACAUCGGGAUGAAUCGGAGCGCGUUUAAGAACUUCAACGAUGUCGUCAAUGGUUUUUCCUUGUGCAUGGAGCUCCGUCAUCAUCCGAUCCUGAAAAUUACAGUAUAAAUCUCCAUUCCGCUAACGAAAAUAACAGAAUGAGAAGGAAGAAAAGAUAUCAAAAUAUACCAUGAGCGAGUUCCAUGGCAUCGUAGGGAGAAGUUGGUUGAACAAAUCGGUGGCGCCGAGUUCAUCGACCACCCAAUUAUCACUAUCCAAGUCAAUGAUCGUCUUAUCGAAGUCAAAAACGACGACGAUUCCAGCCAUUUUUCAGAGGAAAACCUUAGGAAACUGUUGUGUUACGAUGCGAAGGAAAAUGUAUCUCUGCGGAAGAACAGAUUGCGGAGUGGGGGUAUUUAUAACGGGAUGUGGAGGGGAAGAAAUGAAAGGGUAGAGUUGUGGGGCGUUGGAUGAGGUGAAAUCGGGAAAUCGAACGGUGGAGGUGAAUGGAAGAGGAAUAGACGAAUAAAUAAUUGGAAUAUGAGAAUAUUCGACGCAUAUGAAACGCACUGAGCUUAUGAAUAUAAGAAUAUUCCGGAAUGAGUGCAUAUUGGUUAUUCCUAUUUCCUUCCUAUUUCUCGUGGCUGCUACACAAACAAACCUGUCCUUUUAUUCCUCCUACGUUGCUUCAUUUCCUUAUUCUAUUUUCUUUUUAAAUAAAUACAUGCAUCCAAUAUAUUAGAUUUUGACUCCUACAAUCUGUAAAACCAUCCAAAAUAACCCCAAACAAAACCACUUUAAUAUUACCAUCCAAACUCAAAAUCGCUCCAUCCAAACAUACAUUUCUCUAGGCUUUAAUACAAUAUUUUUCUUUAAUAUCAUCUUGAAUUAUUAAUUCAACCCAAAAGUUUAUUGAAUAGAAGUAUAUAUUAUGCAAAAAUUUUAAUUGAAAAUAUAUGUGUGAACCAGUUACUAUUAUAUUUUACCAUUAAAAUUACUUGAGCUAGUAACAAUAUUGGAUAUUAAUUUAAUAGGAUUCUCUAAUUAGUUAUUUGUAAAUAAAUAAAAUAAUAUAUAUAAUAUUUUUUUUAAAAAAAAAUCUUUACAUAUAUGUAACACAAAUAAUUUUAUUUAUAAUAUAGGCUAUAAAUAAUAUAUAUGUAACAACUCUAAGAUAAGUUUCUCGUACCUCCACAUAUCAUUAAUAAUUUCUCAGUAUUAAAAAAAAAAUGAGUUUGGUUAAUUUCAAAACCCAACAAAGAAGAUGAUAAUCAACACAAGGACAGAAGUGUUAGCCAUCAUGAUUUGUUUGCCACAUGUAUUUCUAUAUUAUUAAUCAUUAUUCAUACUCAAACUUAACUACGACUCUUCCCUUUUAUUAGGAAGAACCAUUUGACAUGUGUCAUGAUCAUUCAUACAAUAUUAGACCUUACCAACACACACAUAUAUAUCAUAUAGAAAACAAUGGAAUUAUGUGUAGAACAAUUCAUAAGUAUCAUAAUUGAUUAAACUGUUAUUAUUAUUUAAACAGUGAAUUAGUAUAUGAAAUGACUUAAGACAUAUCUAUGGCAACCUUUAAAAUUGUAUAUGGGAUAUUUUAUGUGUUUAAAUAAUACUACGAGGAUUAGAUUGAUAGACAAUGAAGAUUAUUAAAAUGAAGGGAUUAAGUUAGCACGUAAUUGGUCAACAAAGGAAUGUAAUAUAAUUUUUUAAUUAGUUGUCAUCAAUUGAAUAUAGAUUAUUAAUUAACUAAUUGUGUUUAUUAAUUAAUUAAUCAAUCCACAGCUGCACAUCUUGGAAUUAAAACAAACAAAAAAAAAGUGGAAGUAUUGUUUUGAAUAUUGUUCUUCCACGUUAUUGAUUCAAAAUUCUCUUCAAAAAGUGAAAAAUAAAUUUGGUUUUACCCAAAGUUUUAGAAGAAACUAGAUGAUAAUAAAAAGGGGAGAUGUAUUAUAAACAUGUGUUCUUGGUUUUUUCAGCUUCAUAUUCGGAAGCAAUUGGUGUGAUUAGAAAAUAAUCACGUUUUUUUAUUCAAUUAAUUAGUGUAAAUAGUUUUUUAAUUUUUUAUAGUUUUUAAAAAAUGGAUUGUAUUAACAUUUAAUGAAUAUUUUUUAAAUUGCAAAAUAAACUAAAAAAUAUUCGAUAUAAUUUAAAAUUUUACUAUAUUUUUUUAAAAAUUUUAAUUUUUUUAGACGAUCACCCAAUAUUUAUUUUCUAUUGUUUUAAAUAUUAGACUUUGAAUCAUUCAUAAAUUUAGUUAACAUUUUAAAAUGUUACAAUUUUAUAGUCGGAGAUAUCAGUUAGUUUCAAAUCGAUUUCAAUAGUGGGAGUUGAAAAAAUAAGGAAAAUUAUCAACAUUUUGAUCAAAUAUUUACGUUUUAUAAAAAGACUAAAUGUUAUAAGUUUUAUUUUGAGUAGUUUUGUUCUAUCAGUUGUAAAUAGUUUGUCAAUUUUUUUUUUAUUUUCGUGAAAAUCUCUUAUAAACUUAUAUUUAUCAAAUUGUGUUUAGUUUCAUAACAGUCGAUAUGUAAUCAUCUAUCAUCAAAAUCCACACAAAUAUAAGAAUUCAUGCAUUUGAAAUUUUCAAAUAUUAUCUUACCAAAGAUUUUUUAUUUCUUGAUCAAAACUCGAGAUUUCAAUUAACACAAUUACAUUAUCAUAUAUUUUAACAUUAAACUUCUCGUAAGUCAAAUUACUAUUUUUUUCAAUUAUAUUACUAAUUACUCAUCUAAUAGAUAGUAUGUGUUAAAAGAUGUUUGAUAAUAUUAUUAGAGAUCAAAAGGUUUGUUGUUCGAAUUUUCAUUUUUUUUAAAUGAUUGUAAUUAAAACAUAGAUAGAAGAAUCAAAAACUUCAAAUCUUGAAAUUAAUAUUACAUAUAUCAUAGUGUAACAAACUUAUUUUUCUUAUAUAUCGUACAUAGAAAAUGUUAUUAUUAUUUUGAUUAAUUAUUGUUUAAAUUUUGGAAAGAAGAAAAAUGGCGGGGCGGUGUUGAACUUGAUUGACCGGUCUGACGUGGUGGACACGCAUUGACACGUUGUUUUUAUGGCUCACAUGCGGCAGCUUCCAUGGAAUUUACGGUGCCGCCCAAGCAGAAAAGUGCCGAGACCACCGAACCAUAUUCCCCUGUUUUUGAACUAUUUAUUUCGUUUUCAAAAACGGGUGAAAUGUAUUUUGUUAAAUGUUUGUUUUUUCAUUUUUCCAAUAUAUAAUUUAAGACCAUAAUUUUAAAUGAAUUUACUUGCUAAAUAAAACAACAAAUUAUAGCAAAAUUUUAGAUUAUAUUAAUGAUAGUCUUCUAUCACCGUAACGUAUAAAUUUAAAUAUUUUUUCAAUUUUACUAUUUUUGUAAAUCUUUUAUAAGAGAAUGUAAAGGAAUUUCUCAUAAAUAUAUAAAACAUUUAAAUAUUUACUAUUUAUAUAAUAAAAUAUAAAAGAUAUUCAAAAAAAAUAAUUGAAAUAUUUGUAACAAUAUUCUUUUUAAAAACUAUUUGAGUAAAAAAAUCUAAAACUAAUCCAAUAUGAUCCCAUGUUGAAAGAGAUAUUUUCUGUAUUCGUGAGCACGUGGGUUUUUUCAUUCUGAAAUUGAUUCUUUUAUAAAUAUUUUGCUUAUAUUUUUUAAAAAACUCAAAUAUAUAGAUUUUAAAUAUUAAUUUAUGUAAAUAAAAAAAAUAGGAAGUAUUUACUUAGAGCAGAAAAAUAUUUAGAUUUAUCAUUUUAAACUUGGAUUAAAAAUUUGAUGGUAAAUAGUUUGGAUCAAAACAUGAGUUGAUUGAGUGGACAGGAGCCACGUAACACCCGGUCACGUGACUCACAUCACAAUCAAAACAAGGAAACAAAUUAUUAGAUUUUCUUUUUUUAUUUUUUUAGUUCAAAUUAUAAAAUUCAUGGUAUGAGUUUAGUUUUCAUUUUUCAAAACUUUGCAAUAAUACUUUUUAAAUUAAAUACAUAUACAUGGUCAAAAAUACACUCUUAAAUUAAAUUGAUCUAUUUUAUUAGUAUGUUUAUAUUUAAUAUUGCAAAAUUUGAAAUUAGUUCAUAAUUUAGAACAAAAAAAUAAAAAGGUAAUUAACACCAACCAAUUUGUUUAGAGAAUACAAAAAAUUAAAGAGUAAAAACUUAAGAGAGUAAAGUAGAAAAUAUGUUAAAAAAAUUUAUUGUUCUUAAUUAUUUAAUUACAAUAAUUUCUUCCUAUCUUUUAAAAAUUAUUUAUAUUUGUACAUGGCAAAGUUUGAAUCUCUAGUCCAUUGUUGUUUAAGUACGAUGAAAAUUACAAAAUGAGAUAUUAAACCUCGUAUUUCGAGAAUGAUAAUUUAGAACUUUACGAGUUCAAUUAAACUUAAGUUAAUUUAAACAAUAUUAAAUUCUAACCCUUAAACCCUAAAUCCUAAACUAAAUCCAUUAUUUUUGAAAGAAAAGGAGAUUGAAAUUUCCAAGUAUUGUAUUAUUUAUUUUUUCUAAAUUAUUAAUAAUAAUAAAAAGAAUUCUAAUUCUAUUUUAAUUGAAAUAUAAACGUUCUUUUGAAAUUGAAAGCGAUAAUUAUGUGAUGAGUAAGACGAUAAGUUUAGUUAAAAACAAACGCAUUGUUGUUCGGAUGUCGAACAAUUGGAAGCAUGCAAUUAAGUUAUUCGUGAGGAAUGAGCAUCAAAUUCUAUGGCAUAUCCCAUUAGUUGGGUGAAGUUACACACAUCUAAUUAUAUUCCUUAUACUAAACAUUUUCUUUUUAUUCCUCAAUGUGAUUUAAUGUAUUAUUCUAGCUCCCUUCCAUUUCUAAUGUUCCCAUUUUAUAUAUUCUUUUACCUCUUUGAUGUUUAUCUUAACGUGGUUAGAUUAUUUAUUAUACAACGUAUCAUAAAAUUUUCUAUUUUUUUAUUCUAUCUCGUGAACGAUGUGAUAAGAUAGAAAAUACUUCCACAUUAAGGUCAACGUAAACAUACGAUAAAAACAUUAUAAAAAAUGAAAAAUGGGAUUUAAAACAAAUACGAGAUAAUUGUUCUUGGUUCAAAUCUACAAAUUAAUCAAAGUGAUUUUUUUUGGAUAAAAAGAUUGGAUGGUCGAUAAUAAAAUCUAACCUUUUUUAACAUAAUUAAUAUUAAGGGUGUAGUUCAAACCUAGCUAAUGGUAACGUCAUACUGUAUUUCAUUACUUUUGUUUCACCAUAUUAAUUAUGACAACGUAGAUUGAAGUACGAAACUAUGAUGAUGUAUAUAUUUAUAGAUAAACGGCCUCAAGUUUAUUUUAGAUUUGAGAAUUAAUUAAAAUAUGAAAUUCUCGUGAUGUUUAGUUUGAUAAUUAGUUCACUUUAUUUUAUAUGAUGUUUUGAGUCUUUGAUCUAUUUUGUAAGGUUCAAACUUGUCUAAUACAUGUAUAUAUUUAUUAAUCAACUUAUGCUUUGAAAUGUCUUAGAUUUGUUAUGUAGUGUUACGUACAAACAGUUAAAAAUACAAGCUCGUUAGUCACAUAUUUUUAUUGUUUAUGGUUAAACUCUCUAAUCCUAGCGAUAUUGUCUGUAUUAUAACAAAAUUUUCUUUAAUAAAAUUAUUUUGAACGUAACUAAAAAUCUUAUUUAACUAUAUAUAACUGUGUGUUGAUUUUUUUUAUUGUGUUUUGGGGAAUGAGAAUAAAAAACUUGAAUAAAUUUUUGUUAAAGAAUGAAAUGAAUGAAAACAAAGUUAGAUAAAGAGGGGGAGAUAUGGACAUGACAUAUGCAAUAUGUGUAAGCAUAUACUUAGGUUUGGUGGUUUUAUUCGUUUCAAUUAUAAUAAAUGAAUAUGUUCAAUUUCAACAUUUUACUUCCUUUCACACUACAAAAAGUGAACGAGAUAGAUUUUCUCUAUAUCGAGAAAUUAUAUAAAAAAAUAUAACAUUUGUCAAAAUAUUUACACGUUGUAGAAAAACUAAGUGUAAUAAAUGUUAAUUUUUUUAUUUUUGAAAAAACUCCUUUUAAUUUCUACUUCUACCUAACACACACUUUCACAUGGGAAUUUUGCUCGAAUUUUGCAUACAUCGAUCGAGCUUCAUUGGAGUGUCUGUUGGCCUUAGUGUUCGACUCACUUUGUAUGGUUUAAUAUCUUUUUGAAUGAAUAUGCAUGUAAGUUUCUUUCUCCAUUGUAAUGUUUAGUUGAUUACACUGCGACACUUAAGUUAGUAUAAAUAAUGACUAAUUGAACUAAUCAUAGAAAAAUAGAAGGUUUGGAUUCUCGUUGGCACUUAUAAGUUAUUUACCUUCUUCUGCAAUAUAUUUUUCCUACAAACACUCACUUCACUUUUAAAAAAAAUUUCACGGCUUUAGUUCAUGCUUAAGAAAGAGAUUGAGAGUUCUUACUCAGCUGUAGGGAAAGCUGCUUUGUUCCCCGCUACGUGGGCUUUAUGGAUUUGGGCAUGGAAAUUCUCUUCCACUCGUACAACUGUGAUUUGAAGAGUAUGAGUCAUCAGUCUCACUUGUCUUCGAAAUACAGAAUCCCACUCGAAUAGAAAGGGAAAAACCUAGUUUUCAAAAAGCUUGUUUUUUGUUUUUCCCUUUUGAAGCUAAUAACUCACUCAAUUUCUUAGAUGAAAGAUGAAAAUUAUGGUAAGAAACGGAGAAAAAACUUAGUUACAAAAAUAAAAAAAUUUAAAGGAAUAGUUGCAAAUUUAACAAUUAGAUUAAAAACAAUUAAGUAUGUAAUAAUAUUUAAUUUUUUUUUGCAAAUAUAGCAAAAUUUGUCAACUUCUAUCAAUAAGUCUAUCACCGAUAGACCAUGUUACAAAUAUAUAGUCUAUUAGUGAUACAAACCGAUACAAGUAUAUUAGUACUAUAUAUAUAAUUUUUUUAAAAUGUUACUGAUAUUUUUCGUUAUUAUUCCGAUUAAUCUAAAUUGUCCAAACGAACGUGUACAUUAGGUCUUCAAACAUCCAACUACUCUAUAUGGCCUUUACGCUUUUGUGUCAGCAAUAGGCUUCAACCUAGCAUCUAGGCUUUUCUAGUGAUGGGCCAGCCCGUUAACGAAAACCAGCACUACAAAAAGUUUGAUAAACAUUGGACCUUUAUGGGCUUGAAGAAAUAUUAUUGGGCCAGCAUUUGAAUUUUCCGAAAGAGAAGAAAGUAAGGGUAGGUGACCUUGAAAUAACAAAAUAAAUAUAAUAUGGGAUUUUAUAAUUUAAUAACAUAAAGUAAUGAUAAGAUUACGCUAUGAUUCACCAAUAAAUAAUUUUAUUGUGUGUUUUUUUUCUUACACUGAAUGCGAUUGCAUUUUGUCUUACUACUACAUUGUGAUUACAGUUUUCUCCAAUCAGUUUUAAAAUAAACAAGGCAACUUUGGACAUUUAUGUCAUUUCACACUUUUAUUAAAUUAUUGAUCAUACAUUAGGUUGUUUAAGAUAUGCUUUUUAUUUCGCAUUGGAAAUUAUUAUAGUGCAACAACACCCCUAUGAUUGGCUUUUCAUAUUGUUAUUAGUAGGUUUGCACAAUGUUUUAUUAAGUUGCAUAUGCUUUAUCAAAAACCUUUUAAGUUUUUGCAUAUCUUAUCAACUUGUUUCCUUUGAUUUUUGUUUCACGGUUAAUUCCCAUAAACGUGAUAGAUUGGUAUAAUGUGUUCUUUUAUUGUUUGGUGUUGGUAAUUUUGUGUAAUUUUGUAAAUGAAGACUUGAAACUUAGUAAAUUUGUUUAACCUAAUUAGUUGAAACGUUGAAAGAUACUUGGAAGUUGAUUUUGUCUUCUAUUGAGUUUUGGUGUUGUUGUUAUAUGUGAUGAUUGUAGUUGUUUGGUAAUUGUUUGACGACUUUUAAUUUAUAGUGUUUGAUCGUCGUGUUGUUGAAACGUCUACCAAGUUGUUUCGAUGGCAUGUGUGUAGCUCGUUUAGAGAAAAUGUAGAUGGAUGGGAUUAGUUCAUUGUUGAAUUGAGGAAGUUUGGGAGAUUUCGAAGAGAUUGAAGUUAUUUUCGUGUGGUUUAAUCAAAUAUCUCUUUUAAAAGAGAAACUAUUUAAACAAACAAACAUAUAUGUCUAGCAUUUACACUAUACUUACAUCAACGCUCUUUGUUUUUAUGUCUCAUCAAAUAUCAAUUAAUUUGUUUAUGUAGGUAUCAAAUUUAUGGAAGACGGUAGACACUGUAUGAUCACAUAAUCGUAUAUUUAGAAGGGGAGGAUAAAAGGUGAGACUAUUAUAAGGUGAAAGGAGGAAUGAAAUGGGAAAUAUAUAUAUGUGGGUGUGUGUGUGUGUAAUGUACGAAUGAGAUUGAGACCAAGUUGAUGUUGAUCUCCAAUGAUAGGGAACUCAAAUGGUUCAUCCGGGGAAUUCGGGGAUAUGAUGAACGAUUAUAUAGAAAGGGGUAAGAGUAAUAAGAAAAAAAGGGGGAGUUAUUGAUGAAGAGAGAAGAAGAAAGAGGAAAAGUGUUGGUGUGGGUAUGUUUAUGGGGUUUGUAGCUUUAUGCAUCAAUGAGCUUUUUAAUUUAUAAUAAAUUGAAAUUAAUUAAUAGUUUUUUUUUUCUUUUUUUCUUUUUUGUUUUUCAUUCUUUCUUGUGUUUGGACGGUUUGUUGAGCUUUUAAUCCCAAUUUUCUCCUUCUAGAGAGAGAAAGUCUUUUAGAGAGACAAGAGACAGACACAGGGGAGAGAGUUUUAGAGAGAGAAAAAGUUUGUGGGAGGCGCAGGGGAAUUGGGCAUUUCUUUUUUCCCAGUUCGCGAUGGUUUGAUUGGAAUCUGCAGCAACAGUUAGAUUUCCCCUUUUUCUCUUGUCUUGUUUUGUUGCUUUUUCCAAUUUUUGUUUUUCUGGGUUUCGAAAAUCGUUGACGGGGUUUCCAAGCUGUGGUUUUUGUAAACCCAGAAAGGGAUCUUCGAUGCAUUGAUUAGAUUUGGUGGAUUUGGAUUUUUCCUAUCUGGGGUUGCUUGGAUUUGCGUUUUUUUUGGCGAAAUGAAUGGUGGAAACGAGGUCGUUGCAGCUCCGGCCGGCCCGCCACAGCCGCUGGACUGGAAAUUCUCUCAGGUAUUUGGCGAACGUACAGCCGGUGAAGAAGUUCAAGAAGGUACUAUUCACUUUAUACUGUAAUCCCGAUGUUUUCUUUUCCGUUUGGGGUUUCUCGAUCCAAUUCAAAUUUGUUGCAUCCAUUACAAUUAGGGUUUUUUUUCACGCCUCCGAUCUGUUUCAGAUUGUAGCUCGUUCUGUUAAUUUGGAAUUUUUGUCGCGGAUCUCUAUCUGCUACCUUCUUGGACCUGCGAGUCAAUCUGUGGUUUUUAUGUUUAUUUGCUGGGAAUUCUUGCUUUGUGUUCUGUAAUGAGAGGGAGUUAAGUUUGCUAGUUGAGAUGCCCUUCCCCAAGGUUGUGCAGCAUUGUUUUUCAUUUUUUCUUUUUCUUUUUUUUUGGUAGGAUUAGUAAGAAGCUUCGAACCUAAGCCUGGUGAGUGACCUGUGUAAUAGCUUUGAGUCUCUGGGUUGAAUUUACUGCAUGCACUUUCUAGCCUUUGCCCUCAGAUUUUCCUCCUUUUGAUAGUAAGUGAAUGCAAAGAGCCAUGGUUAACUGUGUGGAGUGCAUCCUCGAUGUGUGAUCCCUUCCACCCCCCUUUCAAACUAUCGUUGAGAAUGGGAUAAAUUUCACGUAAACACUCAAGCUUUUCUGGUCAUAAGAAAACCUGACAAAUGCCUGGUUCCUGUUAUUCUGGAAAUACCUGUAUGUUAGAAUAUUGAGUUAUGCUUAGCUAGCUUUAAAGCUUGUUUGGAUUGUUCCCUUCCUGAUGUGAAACCAAAAUGCAAGUAAUAUGACAAACAAGCCUAUUGAAUUCGUAUCUUGAGCUGACAAGUGUAUUAAAUUCCCUGCAAUGAACCAACAACCACCCUUUAGUAGUUUCUGUGCUCAUAGUCCGCUUUUGGAAUAUGGUGUUGUAUGCAUAUCACAUAAAGUUAAAAUGGUAUUGGACCCUUCUUUUCCUCCCCUUUUGGAAAUUAUUGUGGGAAAAAGUUCGAAUUUCUUAGAGGACCCCGGGCUCUGUCAUUAUCUUUGGGAGUUAAUUUGUUUUCUUUUCUAUCUAUCUUUCUUUCUCUUUUUUUCCUUUUAGUGCUACAAUCGAACAUCCUUCUAGUAAGUAACUGUCCUUUAUGAUUUGCGUUGGUGAGAAACUUUUUCUGCCACUCUUGGCUUUUGUGUUGGUAGGACAGAGGUCUUAUUUCCCAAACCUCUUAUUACUCACACCAUUAUAUGUGGCUUGAACUCUCGGAUGCUUCUUUGGGCAGUCUUCAUGCUUCUAUUGUCUUUCACUACCCAACUAUUUCUUGUCUCAUUGUUUCAUUUCCUUUCCUUUUCCCAACUAUAGCAUUCCCUGAGAUAAUAGCCCUUGUUGCUGUCUAGCCGUGGUAUGUGAAGGUAGACAUGUAUUAUCAAGCUUGUUAAAGGUUUUGUUUGUUUUCUGUGUUCUCAUCUAAAUUCUUGGUUUUAAGUUUAGCAUUCAUGUUACACUGGUGAUGGGUGUUUCACUUCACAUUAACUCAGUUGUUUCAACAUGAAAGCUCUUUCUUUCAAACUAUCUGUAUAUGAUUACUCUCUGCAAUGGUUUUGGGCUGCUUGGAUCUGCAAUAUGUGAAAAUCUUGGAGUUGUCUAAUAGAUGCAGCAAUUCUCGUUUUCCUAGUCAGUUUGAUCGUUGAUGCAUGCAUUUUUCAUGGUUCUGUUUUCCUGUUUCCUCUAUGUAUGAAUUUCUGAAGCUCUAUAUUCACCUCCUUUUUGGCAGUUGAUAUUAUUUCAGCAAUUGAAUUUGAUAAAAGUGGGGAUCAUCUUGCUACUGGUGACCGUGGUGGCCGGGUGGUACUCUUUGAGAGGACAGAUACGAAAGAUGUUUGUCUCUUGGAAUGCCCUCUUUGUUUAGUACCCCUGGAUAUGUUUCUUGCUUUCUGUGUUCAUUAGCAUCUUAUUUAUUUGUCUUUUGCUUUAACUUUUAGCAUGGUGGAUCGAGAAGGGAUUUGGAGAGGAUGGAUAAUGCAAUUAUUAGGCAUCCAGAGUUUCGUUAUAAAACAGAAUUUCAGAGUCACGAGCCUGAGGUAUUCUCUCCAACAUUAGUCUUUUAAUUUCUUAUUACUUAUAUGUGUGUGUGUUUGCGUAUGUAUUAUAUUGACGGGCUCAAUUAUAUUCAUAUUUAUGUUUCAUUUGCAUUGCUUUGAUCAGUUUGACUACCUGAAGAGUUUGGAAAUUGAGGAAAAAAUUAACAAAAUCAGAUGGUGCCAGCCAGCUAAUGGAGCCUUAUUUCUGUUAUCUACUAAUGACAAAACAAUCAAGUACUGGAAGGUAGGCUACUACCUAUAUCUCUCGUUAUUAAACCAUGCGGAGAACACUAAAUUUGGUAGUUGAUAAAAUGGUAGCAAUUAUAUCUGAGCAUCUUGGUAGCAUAUUUCUGGAGGUUACUCAGUGUAAUCCUAAGAUUACAUGCUUCGUAAGGUUGCAUAAAUUUUGAAGGGUUGAAAAUUUAAAGCUUUAUUGACUGUAGUCUGGUAGGUUAUUCUAAAUACUAGCAGCAGACGAUUUCAGAUUAUCAUGUCUGCUCAUUUAAAAAAUUUAUGAAUUGCUAAUGCAUAAUGCUGAAGAAUUAUUCUAAACAUCGGUUCUAGUGCAUGAAGUUCUCUCUUUGAGUUUAUUUAUAAUGAAAAUAUGGCGUGUUUUGGGACUAGUCAGAAGCCCUAUCUCUUCCCCACCCCACCGAACAAACACACUCACGUGAAAAAUCUUAUAUUUGUUGUCUUGUAGCCCUUUUGCCUGUUCUGCACCAUUUACAUCUUUCUUUUGUUUCUGAGUGUUGAUCAGGUGCAAGAAAAGAAGGUUAAAAAGGUUUCAACUAUGAAUGUGGAUCCUUCAAAACCUGCUGGAAACGGCAGCAAUGCUAGUUCAAGCAAUUCAAGCAGCUCUGGACAAUAUCUUGCAAAUGGAGGAUCCCCAGACCGGUAUCCGAGUAAUGACCUCUCAUUUCCAGCGAGAGGGAUACAAUCGCUACGCCUACCAGUGGUAGGCCUUCACCUUCUUGUAAUCGGGCAUAUAUUAAUUCGUUAUUGGUUAUUUUAGGAAAAAUAUGAAUUUAUACCUCUAAACUUUGUGGUUGUGUUAAUUAAAACCUGAACUAACAAUAUCGUAUCAAUUUAAACUAUAAACUUUUGUAAGUGUAUUAAUUUAUACCCUCUAUUACGUUUUGUUUUAGAAAACAUCGUGUCAGACUUAUACUUGUAUCAAUUAAUCCCCUAAAAUUUUAUAAGUAAAUCAAUUUAGACUACCGUGAGAAUUUCUUUUGAGAAUCAUCCAUGCAUCAACGCUGAUUAUCUAUUUUAUAAAACCAACGUCCGUAAAAUUCUACACAUGUAAGUACAGAUGUAUGGAUGAUUUUUAAAGGUAAUCGUAAUGGUGGAUCUAAAUUGAUUUGCUUAUGAACAUUUAGGAGUUCCAUUGAUAUGAAUUAGAAGUUUUACAUAAUAUUUGUUGAGUGAAAUCUGGAGAAUGAGAAUGGUGUAGAUUGAUAAAUUUACAAAAGUUGGGGGUUUUAAUUGAUACAUUUACUUGUUUAGAGUGUAAAAUGUCACAAUUAUUAGUUCAACAUUUUAAUUGAUAACCCCAAACUGUAGGGGUAUAUACUGAUAUUUUCCCUUACUUUUAAUUAAGGUCUUCAGUCUUCUAUGAUACUUUGUUCUCCUCUCUUAAAAAGUGAAGCUUGUUACCAUGUUGUAUCGUGGUGUAAAUUGUCUUACUUCCUCUCGUAUAGCUAUACUCCCCUUUUAACAAAUCAGAUAGCCUUUUGUAACCAAAAUGGAUUUUCCAACCCUUUUUAAAUUUCAUACAUUACAUCAAUAAAAUUGUUUCUUAUAAGAAAAAUAGUUAUUUUGAUAUAUUCUUCUUAAGAACGCAUUCGCCAAAUUUCAAAAUCAGGAUUAGAACUUUGGUAACUAUUGUUUUCCGUUGUUAAGAUUUGGCCAAGUUUUUAGUAGUAAAUUACAAAUAGAGAAACAUGUUUGGAAAUAAAUGUUAUGUUUAGAAAAAUAAGAAGAAGAUAAAAGACCUAAUUUCAUCUUCUUCUUCCUUUUAUUUUAUUUUUAAUGCUUGAGUUCUUAAAGACACUAGUUUUGCAGGUAACUAGCCACGAGACUAACCUGGUUGCAAGAUGUCGGAGAGUGUAUGCCCAUGCUCAUGAUUAUCAUAUCAACUCCAUCUCCAAUAAUAGGUUUGAUGUCUUUCACUGGAAGUUUUUUUGUGUGUAUAUUCUGUUAUACUCUUUGAGUACUUGAUGGAAUGUUUUGUCUUUGAUAACCUUGGCCAUACAUGAUAAUUUUUUUCAGAAUCUUACCAUUUUAUUUUAUUCAUGCCUUGUAUUAAGCACACGAGUAUUUCAUCUUACAUGUUAUACUUUUCUAUUUUGAACAAGAAGGUUUUUUCAUUUGUAUAUGAAAAGAGUUUGAAAAUACAUACUCCCAGAGGGGAAAGAAAGGAAAAGGAAAAACAAAAAUGUAAAAGAUUGCAGGAAUCCAAAAAGAAACCCAACAAAUCAAACAAAAUACAGGGACCAAAAAAGAUGCUAACUAACAAUGAUUGCAAAGCUAGAAGAUAAUAGCAAGUUAGCAACAAAGACUCUUAGCUUUUAAACAAAAGCUGAGUCUUUAAUGGGAAUUGGGAAGCUCCUCAAACUGCUGAAGCUUCGGACAUCUAGUUGAGGAAGGAACAGCAACUGUCAAGGAGAAAAGUACGAACACCACAAGGCUAAAGAAGAAAACAAACAAAACAACAAAAAGCCCCUUUAACACCAAACUCAACUCCGAAGAAAACCCCAACAAGUAGCAACUUCACCCUAUAACUGAAAACUGAUGAUAUGACUAGCACUUCAGCCUAGCCAAAGAUAAAUGCACCAAAAAGGAAAAGAACAAAACCAAUAGAAGAUUUUUUUUUCAUUUUCAUCUAUUUUGUUGAUGAGAGGGGGAGAAGAAGACUCAUCCAGCAGCUUCCUUGAAGGCAAAUUAAGUUCUUGACAAGUACAUAUGAAAGAGCUUCAAAAUCUUAAUCAUCAAAUACCUUUUCAUGCCCAUCUAUGAUUGAAAGUUGAACCUCUAAGUCAUCACUUCAAAGACUAAACAGAAACCUUGUCUGUCUCUUCAUCCUCCUCCAAAAAUCUGACUUCUUGAUGAUCUCAUUUAUUGAGAUAAUAGAGAACCUUAUAAAGAGUGUUAGUAACAAAUUAUGUUGAAGACGAAGUUUUAUUAAAAUGUUAUAAUUACAUUGAACUGUUUUUUAAACCUCUACACCAAUUACAGGAUAAAGUUCCAUCAACAUCCCAUAGGUCCCAGAAAUUUCUCAGUUGAAAUCUCUAACUCCCUCCCUGCAGCAUUUUCCUGGAAGUAAAAGUUCAAACUGUUUGUAAAAGUUAAUGAACUAGUUUCAAAUUCUGAGAAUUUUCUUCAUACUGGUGGUACACAUAUGUGUGUGUGUAUUGCUUGCAUAGAGUCAAAAUCCGAUAGCUUUGUGCUUGCUCAUUUGACUCAUGUAUGUACGUAUUUACUGUUUUAAUGUCCUUAGUGAUGAACUCUAGCUACUGUUGAUUAGGGUCGUUAAAGGGGGAAAAAAAGGAAAAGGAAAAGAGAGGGGAAUUUUUGAUUUAUUUUCGGAAACGUGCUUUCAAUUUUCAGCAGUCUGCUUGUUUUUAGAAUGCUUUUAGUAACCAAUUAUGUUAUCUUGCCUUGUGUUUAUAGUGAUGGAGAAACUUUUAUAUCAGCUGAUGAUCUGCGGAUAAAUCUCUGGAAUUUGGAAAUUAGCAAUCAGAGUUUUAAUAUUGUUGAUGUCAAGCCUGCUAACAUGGAGGAUCUGACCGGUAAGGUGUUGAAAUUUUGAUCAGUAGUGUAUGGCAUUCCUUCUAGUGGCUGAUAUUUAAGUAAUCAAAAUUGAAAAUAUUAAGUGAAUACUUUUUUCUAUUACUAAAAAAAUGGAAACGGAAAGGGUCUUUUAUCUUCUUAAACUUUGGAUUCUAAGUUUCCCUUGUGCUUCUGUAGAGGUGAUAACGUCUGCAGAGUUUCAUCCUACUCAUUGCAAUAUGUUAGCAUACAGUAGUUCAAAAGGAUCCAUCCGCUUAAUUGAUUUGCGGCAGUCAGCAUUAUGUGAUUCUCACUCCAAAUUGUAAGUGCCUUUACUGGUUUUAAAGAAAGAUGGUUUUUUGCUUCAUAUCCUGCGUAUAAAAGCAUCCUGUGGACUUGAAAACUCAUGAAAAAUUUCAAUUGGGUGCAGAUUCGAGGAGCAGGAAGCACCUGGUUCUAGAUCCUUUUUCACUGAGAUUAUUGCUUCAAUCUCUGAUAUCAAGUUUGGAAAGGAUGGAAGAUACAUUCUUAGUCGUGAUUACAUGACUCUCAAGGUUCUCAUUUUUCUUCUUGACAUGUGAUAUUUGGCGACCAUGUUACAAUUUCAUCAUUUAGGAUAAUAGAAAAGGGAAAGAUAACCUUUAGCUCAUGCAAAGCUCUCUUAUUUCACGUCCAUUUAGGAAGUUCCUGUUAGACUAGAUCUGCAACAAUUUUGGAUUGGUCUGCCAAGAAAGCAUAUAGUUGAAAAUUUGGAGUUAUUACUAUGUGGAAGAUUUUUUUUAGUAAAAAUCAUCUUAUUCCUCUGAAUCCAAGCACUCCACAAAAUAGUAAAGAAAUCAGCUUGCCACAAACUCUACCUCCUCUGUGAGAGGACAAUGUGAUAUCACCUCCUCAACCUUGGCUUUGACAUCUCUAUUCCGAACCCAAAAUUCACCCAACUGCCACAACUUCAACUGCAGCCUCCCCAUUUCCUUUUUGUUUAUUUAGGAGUUUUUGUGUUGGAGGUAAUGGGUGAUAUCUCCAUUCUCAUCUUUUUUACCUUUUGGUCUACUUUGAUUAUGAUGGUCCUACUACAUUGUUCUAAUCAAUAAGAAAACUCAUUAGGUAUAAGGCUUCUUGGCACUUUUCAAGGGAAGAUACUUGUAGUUGUAGCUAACUUCUCUUAGGUAGUGUUAAAUAUUAAUGCCUGGUAGGGUCAUAACCCACAAGAAGGUUGUGAAUCUGUGAUUAAGUUUUUUAUUGUUAAUCGUGGGAUGCUUGAUCUUGUAAAUGCCUGCUACAGUUCUGGAACCACUCUAAACACCGUGUGUGUUGUGCGUGCCUGCAUGUAGUAUGCUUCCGGUGGUUUUUGGCUCAGAUUUUGUAUCUUUUGUUUCUUGUUGAUUGAUUUUCAUAUUCACUCUUACCCCUAAGGCUUUUGGUCUAUAUUUUAAGAGUAAUGAUUGGGUGUAACCUAAGUUGAACCGAAUACUUUGCAUCUCUCCCUUGUAGAUAGUGAAGAAAAAAACAAUUCAACUUUUUCUUUUUUUAAAUUGCGAGAUGGCAAGAUGUUUAUUGGCAACUACCACCACCACCCAGACAACACCUAAGAUUUUUUUUUCCAUAUUCAACAAAGUUUAGAUUGUUUUCACUAGUUAAAGUUAUCUUGUAACGAAGUGAGUUGUUUACUUAUUUGCAGUUGUGGGACAUUAAUAUGGAUUCUGGUCCAGUUGCAGCGUUUCAGGUUCAUGAAUAUUUAAGACCUAAGGUUGAACUAUCUGCCCCUGAACUCAGAUUUGAAUAUUAAAUAUGCAGCUAUCUUUUAUUUUUUUUUGGUAACGUUUUACUUCGAAUAUUCAUGUAGCUGUGUGACCUGUAUGAAAAUGAUUCAAUCUUUGAUAAGUUUGAGUGUUGUUUGAGUGGAGAUGGAUUGCGAGUAGCUACAGGCUCUUACAGGUAAGUGUUCUACUGCAGAGAACUCUUUAUUUCUUUUCCUUUGCAGAGAACUGUACACUCCUUUUCUUUUCUGGGACAUAAACCGUAUUAUGCAUAUUUUUGUUUCCAGUAAUUUAUUCCGCGUGUUUGGCUGUAUAUCGGGAAGUGCAGAGGCUACAACUUUAGAAGCUAGCAAAAAUCCAAUGAGGUAAUUAUUCGUGAGUGUGAUUUCAUCAGGUUUACGUGAUGCUUAUGUGAGGUUCAAUUGUAACUGUAGGCGUCAAGUUCAGACCCCUUCAAGGCCUACCAGAUCUCUGAGCAGUAGUAUAACACGAGUUGUAAGACGAGGUUCGUGUUUCCUUCUCUUUUCACUUGUUGGCAAACCAAAUUACCAAAAUUCUAGUUGUGGCAUACUGUUUAUUUUACGUUCUCCCUAUUUGGCAUCCCAUAUCAGGAGCAGAGAGCCCUGGGAUUGAUGCAAAUGGAAAUUCCUUUGAUUUCACAACAAAGUUACUGCAUUUAGCUUGGCACCCAACUGAGAACUCAAUUGCCUGCGCUGCUGCUAACAGCUUGUACAUGUAUUAUGCGUAAACGUGGAUUAGCAAGAGAACGCAUUUUGCUUGGUCGAAUUUCUCGAGUUUCUCUUGGAGAAAAUUAUUUUCCCAUUUCCUUCCAGCCAUUGAUUCGGAAGCUUUGCAAGUACUCAAGACAUCAAAUGACGUACCCUGAAGACUUAUUGAAUGUGCCUUUGGUAUCCCGGAUGCAGAGGUGGCUGCCACCCAAAACCCUCCACAAGGUUUAUGUUGAUUUCUCUGCAGUGGCUGCAUCUCAUUUUCCUCCUCCCUCCCUCCCUCCCUCCCUCCCUCUUCCUUAACCCCAACUAUUUAGUUUCUUCUUUCACUCUUUUCAUUUCCCUGCAUCUUCUGAAAGAGAAGAUGUAGUUAUGUUUCAGAUUGUUUUGGGUUGGAGCCAUGAAGGAAAAAAAGAAUGUGAUUGUAGCUCUCCUACAACAAAUACUAUAAACGAAUGUUCAAUAUUUGCAACAACCGCAACUAGGUUUAAGAUUACGAGGAAAAGGAAAAUGUAGUUUUUAUUCAUAAUCUUGGUUGGGAUGAAACUUUUGAUAAACUUACACAGCAUCAUUUUUUCAUUGAUUCUUUGUGUGACUGAGUGGUAAUUUAUUUGACCCACAUUUAUUAGAACUUACUUUAUCUUGUGUGGUAUUUCCGUUUUCUUAUAGUUUCUUAUAUUUACAUCAGGGAGCAAGGGGAAGACUGUGCUCUUACUUUAAGUAUUGUUAACCAGAUGAAGUGAGAAGUGAGUUUGUAUGUCAUUUCCUUAAUUGCUCUACAAACUAUUCAUGUGCUCCUUUUAAAGGGUCCGAUUUAUUCUCUUAGAAAUGUUGGCUUUGGUUAACUUUGGCAAACUUCUCCCGUUUUAUUUGUGUAACAGAACAAAUGGUGUAACAGCUUUUGAGAUGAUAGUUCCCAUUUGGCUUAACGUAGAUUUAUGAGGUCAUUUGAUAGAUAGAUGAAAGUUUCAAUCAAAGAUAUUAAUGUAACUUAACAUGUGCUGAUAUUAAAAUAUUUCUGGCAUUUGUAAUUUUUGGGUUUCCCUUGGUCAUUGUUAAAUAGAAUCGAGGCAAGAAAAAUGCAAUAGUACCAUACCACUUUUCAAACAGCACAUUCGCUUUAUUUUCAAUUAUUUCAAAUUCGUACAUUUAGUAACUUUAUUUUAUCAUUCUCUAUUGCUUAAUUCUAUAGCUCGAGUCAAUAUUAUAUCAUCCAAAUAAUUCAGCGGACGCUAUGGUUAAGUCUGUAUUUAGGCGAAUUGAACCAACCCAAAUGCAAUAGAAAAAUGUUUUGAGAACUGGAUUUGUUGGUUAGGUCGGUUUUGUUUUCAUGUGCACAACGAACUUGAAAAUCUAAUUGGUUUCCCUGUUCAUAAAUAGAACUGAAAAAUCUAAUUGUAAAAUUGUCCAAUACAGAAAUAGCAAGUGAGGUAUAACAUUUGAGGUGGUAAAUAAAACAGUGCCAAUGAUCCACACAUUCAAACAUGACACGUUUGGUUCUAGAAAAAAUAUCUAACCAGACCGACUAGCUUGCUUUCAAGUUAUCAAGCUGCUAGAACAAACCAACUUCAAACACUUUCUUGCAAGCCAACUUAGUCGAUGAAAUCUUUUAGCCAACCAUGGAAGCCAUCACAUUAAACUCUAACAUAAAUGAGAUCACUUGGGGACAACACGAGCCUUGUACAUGCAUAUGUAUGCCAUGUGCCAGUCACCUGAAAUAAGUGAAAGAUCAGAACGAAACAUUAUUUGUGGUUAGCAGUGGAUCCAUUUCUAACGAAUUUCUGUUUGGAGAAUGGAAAUUUAGGAUACUAAAACAGGAAUUAGUUCCCAUGUGAGCUCUACCUCCACCAGAUAGCUUUAAGAUGUCUUCUUCUCUCUGUGCAAUGGGGUUAUCAUCAUCAUAUUCAAUCCACUUCCCUGUGGCCAAUUGAAGAUCAUUAAUGAUUGUUUGUUUUGCAUAGUAAUUAAUGAAGAAAAAACUAUUCAUUCUAAAAGACUAACCGCUUUCUUGCUUUACCCAGGCAACAUAAUGUCCUGAAUCUGCACUCCUUCCUUUGUGGGUCAACACAGCUACCAAAUCAUAAAUUCCAGUCAUUUGUGUUUCCUUGUCAGAAGAGGGCGAAUCUGAGAUAGAUAAUCAUCGAAAGGUGAGAGUCUAAGAAAGCAUGGAGGAAGAACCGAUUGAAUGCAAAGUGAAAUUUUUAGAAAAGUGUACCUUCUUGAGGUGUAACACUUGACUGUGCCUCACUCCCAGUAGAUGUACCCUGCAUAUUUCAGGAAUUGGAAGUCAAAAAGAAAGUUCAAAUAUAAUUAUCAAAGGUUGCAAAUGGAGUCUUGACUCACUUCUGCAUCAGACAUCUUUACAUCCUUGUCUGCCGAAUCUGAAGCCUUCUCCUUGGGUUUCAGACCAAGUUUUUUGCCUUCCUCAUUCCUCAAAAGCUAUAUUUCAAUAAACGGAAUUAAAAAAAUCAUCAACUCUAAACUAUCAAUAAGUUUCUUCUUCAAAAACCGUAGGUGAGAAUUGAGAAACCAUACCAGUCGAGGACCUUCCAAUUGUUUGCGAAGAUCAUCUGAACACAAAUCAAACACAUCCAACUCCAAAGGAUAAUCCACUUUCUGAGAUGGAAGUUAAAAUAAAAAAAAAUUAUGGAAUACUGCAAGGCAAUUUAAAUUCAAGUAAAAUAGAACAGGAAUUACAAUGUGUAUCCACGGGAGAAAAAACUAAGUGGCAUACCCUCAAGAUUUUGGCCUUCUGAUUUGACUCUCUCUUCCAAAAAAAGCGGACAAAUUGAAUUGUCAGGUACCUUAAAAUAAUUAAACCACAAUAAUUGUUAUGUAGGUUGCAAAAGUUCACAUUUUUAUUUAAUUUUUUGCAUGGUUUAACGCUAAUCUAAAAUUGACCUCGUAGAUUUUCUAGUGAAAAGAUGCGCUAAGUAGUAGUAGGCAAUGCAAAACUAAGAGAAUUUUGAACUUAAGAAGAUUAUUUAUUUUAAUAAGAGAAAAACAAAAAAAGAAAAAGAAAAAGAAAAAAAGUAUGAAGAUAUCUUUACCUUGGCAGGCUAUUAAUACGAGAUUCCCUAAUGAAAAUUGCACUGCGCCCCAGUGAAGGAGACACUUUAUCUAUUUCUGAUUUUAGACCCUGCAGAAUUUCGAAGUAUGUAAGAACUUAUCAUGAAGAAGGUUUCUAAAACAAGUACAUAUUUUAACACAAAACCAAUACUUACUAAGAAAAUAUAAAAAAUGAGGCAAGUGAGAGAGAAUAGGAAUUUCACUCGGGAAAACAUUACAAUAUCAGACUUCAAAGUUCGCGCGAACUGCUCGCUCAAGUUAUAGAACUAUUUAAUGUUUUUAAACAUUUGGAUAAAAACAUUUUAUAAAUCUUAUGGAAUUACAGUAUGUGGGGGCAGACCCCUGCCCAAAGGAAUCACAGAAAUUCUGUCCUUGGGCUAUAUAACAGCAGAUAAGCUACAGCUUAAAAAGUAAGUGGAGAAUUUACACAAAGAAUUAAGAAAAAAGAAAAAAUAAAUUUGUACCAAUGAACUUUGAAAUUAUAUCUAUCGAUUAAAACUCAACUUUCAAACUCAACUUUCAUAAGUGUAUCAAUUUUGACCAUUCGCUGAGAUCGUUUUAAGACCAUUGAUGCAUAAUCUUUACACACAUAUAAAACUCUUUCAAUACAAGAGUUGCAAAUAUUAAAGAAAUGUUGGAAUCAUUUAUUAUUAUUAGUAUUUUUGGGAUAAGAAACAAAUUUCAUGGAUACAGAUUUCAUUUAUGUAUCAAAUUUACAAAAGGGCAAGAAGCCUGAGCCAUGGAGUUACACAAGCUUCUCCAAUUGGUCAAAGGAGAUGUAAAAUCAUAUGAAUGGAAAAAAGAUGUACAAUUGCACCAAGUCAUAGAAGUAGAUGGUAUGAUUAAAAAAGUACCAAAAGAUCUUCCCUUUUCGUCGAAGAGGCAUAAUAUCAUUAGGAUAAGUGUGACCACAUAUUAACCAUAAGAAAGCAUAAAUCAAGUGUGACCACAUAAUCUUCUUGGGUGAGGUAAAAGGAUUUCUAAUGAGAGUGCAUGUGAGAAGGGCUCAAAAUAUCAUUAGGAUAAGGCGUACUGGAGCAGACCAUCCAAAGGAGGUGGUGAUCUCAUUCCAAAAACGCGUAGCAUAAAAGCAAUGGAUGAAAAGAUGCUUGGAGUCUCGUAAUCGGCAUGGCAGAGUUGGCAACAUUGUGGAGAUAGAGCUAUAUGUGGAAGAUGUCCCCGAAUUUUGUCAUUCGUAUUGAUUGCAUUGCAGCAAAAGGGAGGGGUUGGAGAGGGACGCAUAAAGACCAGCUAUCUAGUGUAUUGAAAAAUGAUUCCUUUUCCCUUGGGACCUGGUGGGGGUUAGGAAUUGGGAACCUAAGGUUACAAAUUAAAGCCUCAGUGGUAAAGUGGUUUGGGAGAUUACGAAGAAAAUCUAAUUGUACAAAGUAGUUUAGAAUGUGGUUGGCAGAAGAGGUGGCAGCAUUUCAAGGUGCAUUCUUCAGAUAAUGGUUUUGGAACUAUACUCACUUUCUAAUUAAUGCUAACUUGGGCGAUUUCCUAUAAACUAUUUUGGUGAGUCUUGCUUUUGUUAGAAACUAUUGUAUUUAUUACUGUGAUAUCUCUCUUAACCAGGGAGAUAAUCAAUUUAUUUUAAGGGUACCUUCAUAUAGGCAGCCACUAGUGUUUGAAUGCAAUAUCACGUACUGAUAGAAAACAUAACCGUUUCUAAACAAUGGAAAGAACGGUGAAAACUGGUUAGUACAGAACCACUAGCUUGACUUCCAAAGAGAAUGAAAAAAACCUAACCAACCAUAAAUUACGGGCUCCAAACACAGAAGUUCAAUCUACUUCUAAAAUAUAAAAUUUAGCUUUUGUAAUUGAAUGGGCAACCUUGUAGAAGGUUUCGGUUAUAUCAAGUACAAAGACAUUUUAGGUAUUUAUAUAUGUAUAUAUACCCUAUUUCAUUAAUCAAUGAAAUGUUUCUUAUUUAAGGGAAUAAAAAAGAAAAGGUGUAUAUAUAUGCACAUACAUAUGUUGUAAGAAAUUAAUCAUUCAUGGAGAAAAAUGAAAUAAUUUACAUGGCAAAAAAAGACCCACAAAAGUAGUUCACCAACAACCAACAAGAAAGGACUUCAAUCCAAAAAAAUAAGACCAAACCGAGCUUUUAAGUACAUGAUUGUUUUUAUCUAAAAUUUAUUUUCCUAUGAAAUGCCAAAUCCAGAGUUUUGGUAAUGCUGAAGAUACGCAACACAUAUAUCAAUCACCAUGGCAACGGCAAUGAAAUUGCAAAACUCAUAAGAGCAGGAAGAAACUAAAACUUUAUGUAAAUUUUGUUACCACUUACCAAACUUAGAAACUUCUCACGUUUAUCCAUCAGAGGUCAGAGCUAAUGGAAAUCAUUCAAACUUUAUUAUCUUUUUAUAAUAUUGACAUUUUCCCUGUCCACUUUUCCUUCAAAUCUAUUUACGGAAAAAAAAAACAUUUCUCCAAAUUUUCCGUUUGUUUCAUCAUUUGUUUAAUUACUUUUGUAAGGCAGGAAAAAGGAGCAUUCAGAUUUUAAACAAAACUUUUGCAAGAAAAGACAAGCCAAGUAAAGAACAAGUUGAACAACCAAUUAAUGUGAGUUCUGAAAGAUACAAAGCGGGUAGUAAAAUAAUAUCUGCAUUCAACUACGAGCAGAGAAGAAAUCUUCAAAUUAACAAGACUUACAUGCUUUAAUCCUUCACUCAAAUGGUUCACCUCUUGCGAUAUAUGGCAUUUAAGCGAAUAAACUGAUUCGGCUUCCGAACUUUCCUCUCCACUUUCCUGACAAUGUAUUCUGGCACCAUAAAAUCCCCACCAUCAGCACAUUAACAAGUUAUAAUUUGAAGACCACCAUGUGCAAUUUUGUGUUUUUUCCAGAAAAAAAAACAGGAAAGUUAUAUCAAUCAGAAAAACACAGACAAAAAGAGGACAUGGGAGAAUCCAAAAGCAAAGUUAAUUGAGCUAACAAAAGAUUACACGUGAAUACGCCCAUCAAUUUUCCAAGUAUGACCAAUCCAAAAACUAUUACAUGUGAAUACAAGUCUCCCAGGCAUGAAAUUGAUCAUUGUGCAAGUUCAUGAAAACAGUAAGAUGUCUCUCUGCUUGUGGAUAGUAUAAUAUUGAUUUUUAUGGUGGUUCUAGUGCCCUCACCAACACACACUCAACAGUGAUGACAAACUGGUACUUCAAGGUACGCUACAAAAUAAGACACUGAUGACAAACUGGCACUUCUUAUCGAUAGUAUACUAAAUAAAUGUGGAGACAUCUUAACACAUUUCCACUUGUGAUGAAGCAAACAUAAGCCCAUCAAUUUAAGGUCAAUGAAUAGGUGCAGGAGAGAAUGUGAAAGGAAGAAAAAUAACGAUCAAUGUAAACUCUAUUACCACCACUUCAUGAAUUUAAUAUCCGAUGUAUUAAAUAACAAUAGAUGCCUUACCUGCUAACAAGAUCAAUGCCAAAUAGGUUCUUUACAGAAUCGGGGAUUUCACUGCAAGUGAGAAUGACAAAAUUUUCUCAUCAAACUACACACUUCUUCCAUGAAAAAUGAAACAAAAACAAAAAAUCCAAAAUCAGAUGCAGAACAGCAAACAUAUUGAGAAAUCCCUCAGACACGGCCUGAAACUAGAGUGUGAACUAAACUAACCAUGGUUUGAAAACUAUUCAGUUCGUGAGGAAUUUCAAAGUGUGGAUUAGACAAUUACAUUUAUGCAUAUUUUGAGUAGCCAAAUGAAAUUACAGAAAAUCACAAAAAAAAAAAAAAGAUGCAACUACCUGGAACCUGCUGACCUAAGAGACUGAGAUAGAGUGUAUAGAAGUUGUGUCCAACAUUCUUCAGCAUCCUGUUAAAAAAUAAAGAUUUCAAUCAAUACAUUAACUUUAAAGACGUAGUAGAAUCCAAUAAAAAAGUUCAAAAUAUCAGAUACUUGUUGCAUGAAUGUACUAUUCUGCAGCUGGCCAAAUUGAGGAUAUUUUUUCCGUAGCACCUGGGAACCAAACAUGGAACAAUAAACACGUUAUUUCCUAAUCCAGUGAAUUAACAACCGCAAUGACAAAAAAGUUUCAAAAAAUAAGUUAUUACAAAUUCAAAUUCUAAAUUAAUUACAACUGAAUUCCAAUAUCUAAUAACAUAUGAAGAAAUGAAAUGGAAAAGAUACAAAUUGAUUUCGUAAAAUCAACUUUUUACAUGGAGAUCUACAUCCAACAAAGCAUGGCAUUUCAAUGUUAGCAUCUGGCAUCAUCCUCAAGAAGGUUGCCGGAUUGGUCUAGUAAGACGUUUCUAAGAGAAAUGACCAUUAAAUGAAACAUUAAUACCAGUUUUCACCCCAACGUAUGAUAGAAACAAGUGCUUAAACAGGUGAAUUUCAAGAAUUUUGUGAAAGCCACUAACCAUCCAGAACUGCAUAGGUGCUACUGCCUUGACACUUCUAUCAAGCUCACUGAAUAAAUCCCGGGUUGCAAUAGUUAACAUGUGUGAAGUUGGAUCCACAUCACUACGCCCAGCAUUAGAGUACCUGAUCCAAGCCAGAUAUUAUAUUUGUCGCUGCAGGAAGAUUCAUGAAAAUUACAAGUAGAACUCACUUAAUCAAAGCCGACUUAAGCUCAGGAACAGAAUGCAAACACUGUAAAGUUGAAUUCAUGUAACACGUGUUUCCCAAAUUAAACAAGCCAGCACUGUGACCCUGAAACAGCAAGGUUUUGGAUGAAAACCAGGAAUCAUAAAAAAUAGUUCAGCAGAAAAUGUCCAAUAUAACAAAGAACUGAAGAAACAAGAGGAAGAUAUAUAGCAAAAUCAGAAUGAAUAGAUGACAAAAUAUUUAUGCAUAAGCGACAUAUAGGCCUAGGGGUUGGGACCUGUGGCAUCGGGUAGACGGUAGAGGCAACCUUCACUCAUGUGUAUUUGUUGUGGAGAUCCUUAUCUAAUAAAGACACUGGAUAGUGCAAGCUUUUUUCGGAUUCCUUCAGGUAUCAUUUGUAUGAUUGGCACACUCUAAUUAUGGCUAUGCACAAGCACCCAAUGACUUCCCUUAAAGCUAACACUGGCCUCCCUGCUUUUUGCUUUUAAUUUUUUGGUGGUUCUUCGAUGCUGAGAAGCCCUUGUGUUCCUUGUUCCCUCAUCUUUACCACCUAUUGGAUAAGAGAUCACACUUGGUGGCCUUUAUUUUGCCUUUCUCUGAUAGUUCUUCUUACUUGCCUUUGGUUUUCAUCACGUGCUUUCUGAUUGUGACGCCUUUAAGGUUGUCAGGUUUAUCUUCUCCAUUAUUUCUAAUCAGGUUCCGAGAGUGGGGAGAAGGGAUCCUAGAUCUUGACUCUUUGAGCCCUUCGAGGGACUUUCCAGUAGGUUUUUUCCCCUGGUUUUUUUGUAACCCUUCUCCUUGCAGUUGGGUCUUUGAUUUUCUUCUCUACAGAAAGUUAAAAUUUAUAGGAAAGUGAAUCUUUUUGCCCAGAAAGUUUUACAUGGAGAGUGAUUACCCAAGAUUGUAUUCAAAGACUUUCCCCAAUGGUGUUACAACCUCAAUGGCGUCCUUCAUAGGAGAUAGGAAAAGGAUCUUGACCAUUUGCUUUGGGAUUGCGAGUUUGUGACGACAUGAUGGAACAUACUCUUUAGAAUCUCUUAGGUUGCUGUUCGAUGUUAGAGUAGGUGCUAUUGGAUCCAUCCUUUUCACGGUAAAGAAAGGGUUCUUUGGCCCUUUUUCUUUUGCUGUGAGACAUCUGGCUGGAGAGGAAUGGUAAUAUUUUUCAUGGUGUUUGGUGGUUUAGCUUAGAAUAACUCUUUUGGGUUAAAGCCUAUUUCUGCAACGGGGCAUGGGGCUUUUUGUUUUUGCCUUCUUAGGCUUGUCCUUCUGCAUUGCCUUUGUUUAUCCUUUCUUCUAUCUCAAAAAAAGUUUGGUUUCUAAUAGAAAAAGAAAAAUAUGCUGGGAAUAUACUUGCUGUGAGAAUCUUGGUUAGUUUUCAUUGUUUACACUCUUAAGAUGCAACAAGGACUUGAACCAUGACUUCACAGUAAGCAUAAACCACCCUACCCACAAUGCUCACUAUAGUAACUGUUUUCCUCGUUCACUCAAUUUUACCUACACAAAAUUUGAAUCUUUUGCCUCCCAUUUUCCAUCCUUUAACUUACCAUACUGGAUGAAGAAUAAAACAAGAGUAUCUGCAGUGGUUUCAUUAUAGGGUACUAAGUUUGCCAAUAUCCAUAACAAUCUCAUUAUUUUAUUGUUAUGAUUGAGAGCUUUACUUCCAGAGUUUUGUUUUAUUGUUUUAGAUGAUCUAUCAAGUUCCUUUUCCCUUGAGGUCUUGGUUCCUUCAUAUUCUAUAAUACUUGCAUAUAUUUAAACUAAACUUCAACAUUUGCUUAUAAAAGAAAAACCUCAUGAUUCAAUUAUGAUGGGAAACACAUAAGUAAAAUGAUAAUCAGUGGCAACAGGUCAGGCAUCAAUGGUAGAUAUGACUCAUAAGCAUGGACCAAAAAGAUGUCAACUAAGCCAGUUACAAUUAUAACAGAAAAAAUAUGUCAAAUUAAUGGAAUAAGACAAGCGUGACCUUAGAUAAAAGAGAUGUAAGCAUCAAAGGUAAAAGGUGGUAUCCUAAGUACACAAUACUAAUAGUCCAACAUCUGGAAACAAACUUACCUUCAAAAAUAUUUUUCAGUUAUUGUCUACAAUGAUCAAAUUAAUUAUAUCAACUAAAGAAAACUAUCGACCUAAUAUUAUCACUAUCAGAUGAGGACAUGAAUGCCAUUAUCUGACAAAAUCCUGACACUUACAAAACAUAAUAAAAACCUUACCACUGCAAUAACUUGUUCAUCUUCAGGAAGAUCUUCUAUAAAGACAGGGCCCUUUUCUGGGGCCUUAACAAUCUCAUCUGCUGUCCCCAUCAUCAUUAAUUUUUGACCCUACAAAAAAAGAAGCAUGUAAAUGGAACAACAUGCUUGGAGCCACAAAAAUCAAUCCGAAAGUUAUAUAACAUUACUCAUCAGUUUACCUCUUUUACUCCAACCGUUGACCAAUCUGCAUCAUCCUGCUCAGUAAGAGAGUAAAAAGGAUGUCAGAUAUUAGUAAUCACUUGGGAAAAGCUUAAAGUUCGAUCAGAAGUAAGAAAGAAGACAUGGUUAUUGUUGGUAAUGAAUGAGAAUCAAGAACGAAUAGUUCAACAACAAAUUCACCAUCCUCAAAAGAAACAUAGAGAGAUGUCAAGUAACCUUCAGUAUACCACCCUUAACCAUAAUCUUCUGCCUUUCAGGAGGCACACCGGUGAGUUCAAACAACUGGCCUUUGAAAACAUACGGGGGCAGACUGGUAUCAAUUUCAACAUCACGGAACAGCUCUUUUUGCCACUUUACACUCACUAUAAGAUAUCAAAAUCCAUUUGUCAGAAAAUAAAAUAAUUCCCGCAAGAGUAAGAACUAGAUUAAGUUAAUGAAUUCCACAACUUCUAAUCGGUUCUUCCACCCAAACUCAAGUUACUAUUCAACAUUUGCCACUUCGACAAAUUUAAAAUUGUAACUGCUUACCACGACAUGAUAACACAAUAAACUAAAGUUAGCAGAGAUGGGCUUUAGCAAAAUCAUAUCUUUCCUUUAACCAUAACCACAAGCUACAUCCAGCCACAAACCCAGAUUAAAAAAGAAAAGCGUACAUCAGUAACUAAGAUCCUGCCCAUUGAUAAUUACGAUGUAUGAAAGGGGUGAUCUCAAAUGAGAAGUAAUGGCGAUAGAAAAACGAGGCAUUGGCAAUUGCCCCAGAAAAAAAAAAAGACAAAGAAAAAAAAGCAAUAAACAAUUGACAAGGAGCUUAAUGCUAAGAGGGGAAGAUGAAAAUGGGAAUUGUCCCAGAUCAUUGUCCGCAAGAAGAUCGGCAAAUCUGGGGUGAUUAAGAAGAAUAAAUGAAAGAAAGUAAAAGAGAAAGAAGAAGAAGUGAAAGAGAGAAGGUAGUGUUCGAACCUUUAAUCAUGAUUAGAGAGCUCCCGAGAGAGGUAGAAGAAUGGGCGAAGAGGUUGAAGAAGAAGAAGAAGAAGAAGAAGAAGAAGAGUUGUCUUGGAGAGGCGGUAAAGCGGAGCUCUGAAUUUCUUGCUGAUUCAACAAGCACAACAAUUUGCCUCCCAAUUCCAUUCUUAUAUAAAGAUAGGUUCACAUGUUUUCUCUUAUCAAUUAUGGGUCCAAUCUACACAUUUAAAACCUUAAAUUAAAAUUACAUUCCAAACUUUAGUCCUAAACUUCUGAAGUUUCUCUUUAUUCAGUUUAAAUUUUUAAGGCACUUUAGUAAGUUUUAUACAUUUACUUGAGAGCAUCAAAUUUAAAAUCAUAUCAAUUUAUUUGAAUUUUUUUUUUAUGUAAAAUUACCUAAUAGUCAUUAUUAAGUGUUUGAAAGUUCAUUGACUCACAAUACAUAAACUUAGACUAAACUAUACCAGGAGGCACUAACUAUACAAUUUCCUUUUUGUUUCAAUAAAUGUGAUAUUGGAUGAAUAGAAAAAUAAUCAUAAUUACUUAUCAAUAACUAUAUACCACUAAAUACCUUAAAAGGCCGAGGAAUGAAAAAAAUGAAGAAAAUUUUGAAUAAUAGUUGAUAGGAAGACAUCUAUUAGUUAGAAAGUGUAAACUCUUAAGUUAUAGUUUUAAGAAGAAAAAGAAUUAAUUUCUUAUAUACAAUUUGCUAGCUCAAUCAAAUUUCAAAUAUUAUAUUUAAAAAAUCUUAACCAUAAUUUAUGAGGCAUUGGAAUGGUUUUCUAGAAUAAUCAUUAAAAAAGACCAUAAAAUACUCUAACAAAGCUACCUUAGAAUAAGCUUCUUAUAUUUUGAUUGCAAGUACUUUUGUUGCAAUCAUAUAUUGAGUGGGGGGGAAAGGUGAAGUUAUACUUUAUGUAAAGCCUCAGUAUUGAACAUAACCAUUGUCAUUUUAGAUCACUUUCUCAUUUGUCUUGUUUUGAAAAUGUAGUUAUCAUUGGUUCGCUGUUGCCUCCUAUGUGAAGAAAGGACAUUUCUUCAUCAGAAAGGAUUUGCAAAGUAGUGAUAAAUUUGGCAUUAUGUUUUUCAAUAAGAAUCUUUCAUAAAUAGUAAAUGUAAGAAAGAGAGAAUAUGGAAACAAAAUAUAUCACUAAUUAAUUGGCUUGCCACCACUAGCUUUCUUUCUAACCAAAACAAGAAAAUACGAAUUUCCAACUUCCAAGAUCAUCAGUCAUCUCAUUUCAUCGUAACUGAAUAGAACAAAAAGUUGUAUAAAUGGAAAAAUUGUCACCCUCGUUCCAACUAAGAUUACAAGCCAAAAUUUGAUAUCCAUUCUUGUAAUGAAGCAAAUAAACUGAUAAAUAACUAAGGCCUUCUAGAUGAGUGAGAGGAUGAAUCUGAUUUCUCGGCUAGAUAGUGCUCAAGCAUGUCUUCCUCGUCAUCAUCUGCAAUUCAAGCAAUGCAAAGGUUUGGAAUGGGUUAAUGCUAACAACUGAACAAUUUAGUAUGUAUUAUUAUUAAGAUGGGAGGGGGAGCACCUUCAAAAUCAUCCUCAUCGAAAUCAAUAUCUUCCUCGUCAUCUUCGUCAGAUCCUUCAGUAACUGGAGCUGCACCUUUCUGUUAAAAAAGUGAGCAAUAUGUUAAGUUGAAUGAAGCAGAAACUCCAGCUAACUGGAGAUUCGACAUUAUACCAACUGUAUCAUAGGAUGAAAUAGCCAGUUGAUCAGUCUUUCUCUUCUAGCAAUGACACCGGUGCUUAAAAAGAAAAAUUACCCCAGAAGCUCUUCCGCUCUCAAACCACUGCCUGCCAGCAAGUUUCUUUUCCUUAGGUGCAGUAAGAGCUGAUUCGGGCAUUAUCCUGAAAGAAGUUCAAAUUUAUUAUCAACAAACAAAAUUGUUGAUAGGAAUGGUAUUAGAGAGAUAUUGAGGUACAUUGGUAAACAGUUAAGUAGUUUUUUGGGGAAGAUUGGUUAUAAUUUAUAAAUCCCGUGGGUAGGGAAGAACUGUAAACAAUAUUUUGGUGAGGCGAUUAGAGCUUGAGAGUGAUCGCAAGAUUGGGAGGGUCAAGUUGAAACAAGGCUCUUCAAUAAUGAAAUGAAAAGAGACUAAAGCUCAAAUUUUUUAUAAGUCAAUACAUUCAGGUCCCCUAUCAAAUAUCUGACUUCUUUGAAACUGGAAAGAUAGAAUAUAAAUAUGCUGAUCAAAUGUCAAGUACAAAACGGAAGAAAAAAACUAGGGACCAUUAAAUCUCGAGACUAGGCAAAUUACAAAAGAAAAGCUCUAUAAUUAGACAAAACCAAAAGAAGAGAAGAAUAUUUAAAGCCCUUGUUAUUAGCCACACAGAGACAGACAUAAAAGCUGUCAGCUGCCCCAUUUCAAUUUCCCCAAAGAAUUCCAAAGAACAUCCCAUCUUUACCUAUCGAAAAUCCCAAGGUAUAUCUUAGUCAUUAGCUAACGUAUUAGGUUGGAUUAAUAAUGAAUUUGCCUGGACUAGUGCACAACUUUUUGUAGCCUGGUUGGGAUAAGGACUAGUAAUAAGUACAUAUCAAAGCUCUAUUGCUAAUCAUUUAGAUUGUUUUAUACGUAGUGUGAACCAGAAGUUCAGUAGUUAUGCAGGUUUGAAGAUUAGUUUUUGUGAUUUUCUUUCUCUCUUAUUCUCAACAACCAGAGCCCUUUUGGUAAUUUUUAAGUUUUUUGUAAAUAGGACUGUCCCAUUCUCCUUGUUUGCAUUUGUAAAUAGGACUGUCCCAUUCUCCUUGUUUUCAUUUGUAAAGCUUAGUUACAACUAACCUUAGCGUUUUCUUUUUAGGGCAGGAACGAUCCACAAAAUUGGGCCUCUGUAUGUUAGUGUUGUGCUAAGAACCAAAAGUCUCUUGAGGCAUUUUAGGAGUGCCAACCAUAAAACAUUUAAGGAGCCACUCACAAUCUUCACAAGGGGAUCCAGCAACAAUCAAGAUAAUAAAAAGGUGGUCCAAGUCCUCUGUUUGGUGCUCCACCAAAAACGCAUAUAAAGCAGCUUCGAAAGACCUUCAUAUGCCCUUUCUGCUGCAUAUUGUUUUGCUCAGAGUUCCCACAGGUAUCUGGCAAAUAACAACACGCUCUACGAAUGACAACACUCUCUCUCCUCCAAUAAAGAAUCCUGGAGGCAUCAUAGCCAUUUGAGUUUCUUCUCAGAAGAAUUAGUCUUCGAAAGACAGACUUAGUAAGGUCCUUGCCAUCUACAAACUGCGAGUUAUAUUGGCACAUCUAAAGUUAACACCCUGUGGAUUGCCUAAAAAAGUCAAAUGAGAUCUGCUUAUAAAAAACCUCCACGGUUUCCAGUAACCAUCAUCUGACAUCCAGUCCAUAGAAGUGAAGCUCCCUCCAUUAGAACAUUAGACAGAACAAUCCACUUCGUUGCCAUAUCAUCGAGAUCCACUCCUUCACUACAUUAACAUUGAGACUUGUUGGUGAUAUAUAAUUAAAUUUGCCUUCAACCACCAGCUUAAGCUUUUGGAUGAAUCGGUGGUUUAAUAAGACUCAUCCAUCCAAGAAAGGUAUUGUACAACUUCAACCAUAUUGUUGGGAUAGUCAUCAGGUACACUACUAGCAAAACCCGAGACUACUCUAACGGCCUAACCUUUACAAGGACAACAAUGGUCGCACUUUUGUUGUUGUAUAUAUAUAUUGGGUGGGGGGCGGGGGAGCAAAAGAAAAAUAAAUAAAUUACUUGGCUCGUUCCAGUGCAAUCUCUGCUUCAAAUCUUUCCCUCCAUGCUAAAAAUGUGUCAAGGGUGACAGGUUCUCCAUGUGGUACAAUUACCUGUGAGAUCAAAGAAGCAGAAUGUAAAUGAGUUCAUUCAAUUUCAAGCAAUGUUCAACAGUCAAGUAUUUUAAAAGAUAGUCUAACAUAGACUAACAUAUGUCAUCGAGUCAAGAAUGUAACAUAAAUAAACAAAUUUUGAAGGAUGGUUCUUUUUUUUUAUUCCUAUGCUAUGGGACAUUUGGCCUCAGAAGAACAUCAGAA